AGUGAACGCUGGCGGUAGGCCUAACACAUGCAAGUCGAACGGCAGCACAGUAAGAGCUUGCUCUUACGGGUGGCGAGUGGCGGACGGGUGAGGAAUACAUCUGAAUCUACUUUUUCGUGGGGGAUAACGUAGGGAAACUUACGCUAAUACCGCAUACGACCUACGGGUGAAAGCAGGGGAUCUUCGGACCUUGCGCGAUUGAAUGAGCCGAUGUCGGAUUAGCUAGUUGGCGGGGUAAAGGCCCACCAAGGCGACGAUCCGAAGCUGGUCUGAGAGGAUGAUCAGCCACACUGGAACUGAGACACGGUCCAGACUCCUACGGGAGGCAGCAGUGGGGAAUAUUGGACAAUGGGCGCAAGCCUGAUCCAGCCAUACCGCGUGGGUGAAGAAGGCCUUCGGGUUGUAAAGCCCUUUUGUUGGGAAAGAAAAGCAGCAGGUUAAUACCCCGCUGUUCUGACGGUACCCAAAGAAUAAGCACCGGCUAACUUCGUG
This 492-nucleotide ribosomal RNA is filed under the name uncultured bacterium. RNAcentral describes it as "partial 16S ribosomal RNA". It matches the Rfam family "Bacterial small subunit ribosomal RNA", at positions 29 to 507 of the family's 1533-position model. The record is from RNAcentral.